Molecule: ribosomal RNA, 253 nt
Filed under: uncultured bacterium
Lineage: Bacteria
Description: partial 16S ribosomal RNA
Rfam family: Bacterial small subunit ribosomal RNA
Source: RNAcentral
UACGAAGGGGGCGAGCGUUGUUCGGAAUUACUGGGCGUAAAGCGCACGUAGGCGGCUUUGUAAGUUAGAGGCGAAAGCCCGGGGCUCAACUCCGGAAUUGCCUUUAAGACUGCAUCGCUAGAACGUCGGAGAGGUGAGUGGAAUUCCGAGUGUAGAGGUGAAAUUCGUAGAUAUUCGGAAGAACACCAGUGGCGAAGGCGACUCACUGGACGACCGUUGACGCUGAGGUGCGAAAGCGUGGGGAGCAAACAGG